This 450-nucleotide ribosomal RNA is filed under the name uncultured bacterium. Its description in RNAcentral is "partial 16S ribosomal RNA". It matches the Rfam family "Bacterial small subunit ribosomal RNA", at positions 354 to 796 of the family's 1533-position model. The record is from RNAcentral.
GUAGGGAAUCUUCCACAAUGGGCGAAAGCCUGAUCCAGCCAUGCCGCGUGUGUGAAGAAGGUCUUCGGAUUGUAAAGCACUUUAAGUUGGGAGGAAGGGCAGUAAGUUAAUACCUUGCUGUUUUGACGUUACCGACAGAAUAAGCACCGGCUAACUUCGUGCCAGCAGCCGCGGUAAUACGAAGGGUGCAAGCGUUAAUCGGAAUUACUGGGCGUAAAGCGCGCGUAGGUGGUUUUGUAAGUUGGAGGUGAAAUCCCCGGGCUCAACCUGGGAACUGCCUCCAAAACUACAUGACUAGAGUACGGUAGAGGGUAGUGGAAUUUCCUGUGUAGCGGUGAAAUGCGUAGAUAUAGGAAGGAACACCAGUGGCGAAGGCGACUACCUGGACUGAUACUGACACUGAGGUGCGAAAGCGUGGGGAGCAAACAGGAUUAGAAACCCGGGUAGUCC